RNAcentral lists this transfer RNA (74 nucleotides) under Candidatus Cloacimonetes bacterium ADurb.Bin088. RNAcentral's name for it is "tRNA-Gln". It matches the Rfam family "tRNA". Rfam says of the family: Transfer RNA (tRNA) molecules are approximately 80 nucleotides in length. Their secondary structure includes four short double-helical elements and three loops (D, anti-codon, and T loops). Lineage: Bacteria; Pseudomonadati; Candidatus Cloacimonadota. RNAcentral also lists the same sequence under 2 other names. The record is from RNAcentral.
UGGGAUGUCGUUCAAUGGUAGGACAACGGUCUCUGGCUCCGUUUAUAGGGGUUCGAAUCCUCUCAUCCCAGCCA